This 253-nucleotide ribosomal RNA is filed under the name uncultured bacterium. RNAcentral describes it as "partial 16S ribosomal RNA". It matches the Rfam family "Bacterial small subunit ribosomal RNA", at positions 524 to 776 of the family's 1533-position model. The record is from RNAcentral.
UACAGAGGGUGCGAGCGUUGUUCGGAAUUAUUGGGCGUAAAGGGCGCGUAGGCGGUGCGGUAAGUCACCUGUGAAAUCUCCUGGCUCAACUGGGAGCUUGCAGGCGAAACUGCCGUGCUGGAGUGUGGGAGAGGUGAGUGGAAUUCCUGGUGUAGCGGUGAAAUGCGUAGAUAUCGGGAGGAACACCUGUGGCGAAAGCGGCUCACUGGACCACAACUGACGCUGAGGCGCGAAAGCUAGGGGAGCAAACAGG